Molecule: ribosomal RNA, 201 nt
Filed under: uncultured bacterium
Lineage: Bacteria
Description: partial 16S ribosomal RNA
Rfam family: Bacterial small subunit ribosomal RNA
Source: RNAcentral
UACGUAGGGGGCAAGCGUUGUCCGGAUUUAUUGGGCGUAAAGAGCGUGUAGGCGGCCAAACAGGUCCACUGUGAAAACUCGAGGCUCAACCUCGAGAGGUCGGUGGAAACCGUCUGGCUAGAGUCCGGAAGAGGAGAGUGGAAUUCCCGGUGUAGCGGUGAAAUGCGCAGAUAUCGGGAAGAACACCCGUGGGCGAAGGCG